AGUGAACGCUGGCGGUAGGCCUAACACAUGCAAGUCGAACGGCAGCACAGUAAGAGCUUGCUCUUACGGGUGGCGAGUGGCGGACGGGUGAGGAAUACAUCGGAAUCUACUUUUUCGUGGGGGAUAACGUAGGGAAACUUACGCUAAUACCGCAUACGACCUACGGGUGAAAGCAGGGGAACUUUGGACCUUGCGCGAUUGAAUGAGCCGAUGUUGGAUUAGCUAGUUGGCGGGGUAAAGGCCCACCAAGGCGACGAUCCGUAGCUGGUCUGAGAGGAUGAUCAGCCACACUGGAACUGAGACACGGUCCAGACUCCUACGGGAGGCAGCAGUGGGGAAUAUUGGACAAUGGGCGCAAGCCUGAUCCAGCCAUACCGCGUGGGUGAAGAAGGCCUUCGGGUUGUAAAGCCCUUUUGUUGGGAAAGAAAAGCAGCAGGUUAAUACCCCGCUGUUCUGACGGUACCCAAAGAAUAAGCACCGGCUAACUUCGUG
This 492-nucleotide ribosomal RNA is filed under the name uncultured bacterium. RNAcentral describes it as "partial 16S ribosomal RNA". It matches the Rfam family "Bacterial small subunit ribosomal RNA", at positions 29 to 507 of the family's 1533-position model. The record is from RNAcentral.